UUUAUGGAGUGGUGGAUUAUGGUAUAAUAUAGUUGAUGGCAGGUGUGAUAUUCACCGAGUCCUGGAUGAUGGCCGUCCGCAUAGACUGGCACAGUCACGGCUUUGACGUGCAGCCUUCCAACCGUUCAGGUAAGCCGAAGCAGGUGACGCGUCCAAGGACAGACGUUCACCGCACGGGCAGACAUGUUGGUGACACCAGACCCAAACGUUGUGGGAACAUGACGUAUUUACGUGAUCUACCGAGGGUUAGUCUCGUGAUGACAUUCACCUCUGAGAACAUCUCGACCCUCCUCUGGAGUCUCCACAGUCUUCAGCAGGGAACACCUGGAAUUCUGGUAGCUGACACCAUACUGGUACACAUGCCUAGUCCUUCAC
Liolophura sinensis is the source of this 375-nucleotide long non-coding RNA. RefSeq lists it as uncharacterized. The record is from RefSeq and is a predicted model, not a curated record. The transcript is spliced from 3 exons. Lineage: Eukaryota; Metazoa; Mollusca; Polyplacophora; Chitonida; Chitonidae.